RNAcentral lists this long non-coding RNA (1127 nucleotides) under Marmota monax (woodchuck). Lineage: Eukaryota; Metazoa; Chordata; Mammalia; Rodentia; Sciuridae. The record is from RNAcentral.
CUUCACGUUCCCACGUGCCCUAGUGAUUAAGAGAACCGGAAGAGUCCUGUUAAUCCACAAGGACCCCUGGAGUCUGUCACCAUGGGGCGAGAGUGUAGACAGGGACAGAUGGAGGGGGAGUGUCACCGUCCUGGCUGGUGAAACCCAGUGAUCAGCCACAGGAAGUGAGGGGCAGAGCCUGGGGUCAGCUGGCCUGAGGAUGCUGGUGGAACGCCUCACCUCACACCCUCCAGAGAAGCAGGACCAUCCAGUGGGAGGAAGGAAGGGACAGUAGAGCCUAAGAAGGAAACACAGGGUGCACGUGGUGAUAAGGAGGACCCAAACAGGUGCCCUGAACUGUCAACAGAUCCUGAGUAGUGGGCCAGGUGUCGUGGUGCGGACCUGUAAUCCCAGCGACUCAGGAGGCUGAGGCAGGAGGAUCACAAGCUCAAAGCCAAUCUCAGCAAUUUAGUGAGACCCUAAGCAACUUAGCGAGGCUCUGUCUCAAAAAAUAAAAAGGGGCUGGGGAUGUGGCUCAGGGAGUAAGCACCCCUGGGUUCAAUCUUCAGUACCUGCCCCCCACCAAAAAAAAAAAGACCCUACUAAUGGACUAAUGAGAGGAGAAAAAGGACCCAACUAAUCCACUUUAAAAGUCAUGCCGAGGAAGGCUGGGUAGGAGUUUUAGUAUUUCAAGGUGACAAGACUGUCUAUACACACACAAACACACACACACACACACACACACACACAUGAGAGGUUCAGAAUUCACAGAGCAAUGGUGGGUAAAACAGGAAGAAAUAAAUCAUCUUACCUGGUGGUUUUACUGUGCUCUUUACAAAAACCAAGAGUUUAGGCAAAUCAGACGGCGAGGGUCGAACCUGAGUAAGCUAAGUGCGUCCCCAGGUGCGUUUUAUUCAUGUGUCACACACAUUCACACUCACUCCUGUGAACCUUGUACUCAGCAUGGAUUGAAGUGGAACAUUUAAGAAAACCAAACUUUCCUUCUUUGAAGACUAAUAAGAAAAAAAAGCGUAGAAGACUGAUGAUUUUGAACAUGAAAAAAGAAAAACAAUACAGAAGAAGAAGGGAGAAUAAACCCACCUGUGGUAGAGAGUGAAACAUAAAAAAAGAUCAAGAGUCUUUAAAAC